AUGACUGAUAAGAACUAUAACAUCGCAUUGUGAGAUGCUCCGCCCAGAGGGAGUAGCCAAGCAUUCCUACCUGGCUAUAAUCAGGUAUUUCAAACACCAUAAGCAGCCUUUUCGCACUGGAUUCCCAGAGGAGCAACUGUCUUCUCCACUGUAUUCCCAGAGGAAGACCAGGCCCACCACCAGACCUUCAGAGGAAAACUACACCCUCCUACAGGACCACUGCUUCAACUGAACCAUAUCUGUCACUCCAGAAGGACUGCAGCCACCAUUCAAUCGGACUGCUAUCAACACCCUGACCCACAGGGUGUCAGAAGACUAGACUGGAGUGGGCUGUGGGAAGCAGGAACAAAGAGGCAAGAUUUUCCUGGUGUUACCAAGAGGAAAGGAGAGGGGACAGCUGCUGCUCAGAACUUCAGCGACAGACUCUGCACGCCUCCUCCCCCUUCGGCUACCUGGAAAAAGUUAAAACAGUGGGGGCAAGCUCUGAGUCGAGCCCCCUUCCCAGCUGAUCUUUUUAAUAAAGAGUUGAACAUUAAUAAAGGCAUAAACCCUGUUCAUU
Molecule: non-coding RNA, 559 nt
Organism: Taeniopygia guttata (zebra finch)
Lineage: Eukaryota; Metazoa; Chordata; Aves; Passeriformes; Estrildidae
Source: RefSeq, a predicted model, not a curated record